GGCUGUCUCUGUGAGGGCAAUGGUGGUCACUCCCAUUGCCACAUCACGUCUAUGUUCCUUUAUUCUCUGGUGGAGUAUCCUCUUAGUGACCCCUACAUAUGAAGUAUCUUGGUUGGACUCCUUCAGGUUGACUGGGAUUCUAUAAAUACCUGAUUUUUGUAUGAUGUGGGUUCUCUUUUCUUUAUCACUCCUGGUGCUGUCAAACACGGUGGGGGCCCUACGUAUUGCUGGUUUCUUUCCUGUUUUGUUCAAGAUUGUCUUCGUUGUAGUUCGGUUAGCCACUUGCAUAGGCAUUGGUGCAUAUUUCUUUUCUAUUUCCUUAUCUCUAUCCUUAUUUCUUUGCUUAUGUAGUUGCCUUUUGACUUUCUUUGUAUCUGCUUCAUAAGUCCGUAUCUUUAUC
Molecule: long non-coding RNA, 400 nt
Filed under: Androctonus crassicauda
Lineage: Eukaryota; Metazoa; Arthropoda; Arachnida; Scorpiones; Buthidae
Source: RNAcentral